RNAcentral lists this ribosomal RNA (543 nucleotides) under Microthia sp. Mnep1. RNAcentral describes it as "eukaryotic LSU rRNA". It matches the Rfam family "Eukaryotic large subunit ribosomal RNA", at positions 89 to 655 of the family's 3401-position model. Lineage: Eukaryota; Fungi; Ascomycota; Sordariomycetes; Diaporthales; Cryphonectriaceae. The record is from RNAcentral.
GCGAGUGAAGCGGCAACAGCUCAAAUUUGAAAUCUGGCUUCGGCCCGAGUUGUAAUUUGCAGAGGAUGUUUCUGGCGCGGUGCCUUCCGAGUUCCCUGGAACGGGACGCCACAGAGGGUGAGAGCCCCGUAUGGUCGGACACCAAGCCUGUGUGAAACUCCUUCGACGAGUCGAGUAGUUUGGGAAUGCUGCUCAAAAUGGGAGGUAAAUCUCUUCUAAAGCUAAAUACCGGCCAGAGACCGAUAGCGCACAAGUAGAGUGAUCGAAAGAUGAAAAGCACCUUGAAAAGGGGGUUAAACAGUACGUGAAAUUGUUGAAAGGGAAGCGCUUGUGACCAGACUUGCGCCGGGCGGUUCAUCCGGGGUUCUCCCCGGUGCACUCCGCCCGGUUCAGGCCAGCAUCGGUUCUCGUUGGGGGAUAAGAACGGCAGGAACGUGGCCCUCCUCCGGGAGGGUGUUAUAGCCUGCCGUACGAUACCCUGACGGGGACCGAGGUUCGCGCUCCGCAAGGAUGCUGGCGUAAUGGUCACCAGCGACCCGUCUU